ACAGAGGGGGCAAGCGUUGCUCGGAAUCACUGGGCGUAAAGGGCGCGUAGGCGGGAUGGCAAGUCGGUCGUGAAAUCCCUGGGCUCAACUCAGGGGGGUCGGCCGAUACUGCCGUUCUUGAGGGAUGCAGAGGAGACUGGAAUUCCCGGUGUAGCGGUGAAAUGUGUAGAGAUCGGGAGGAACACCGGUGGCGAAGGCGGGUCUCUGGGCAUUCCCUGACGCUGAGGCGCGAAAGCGUGGGGAGCAAACGGGA
Molecule: ribosomal RNA, 253 nt
Filed under: uncultured prokaryote
Description: partial 16S ribosomal RNA
Rfam family: Bacterial small subunit ribosomal RNA
Source: RNAcentral